AGAGUUUGAUCCUGGCUCAGGAUGAACGCUGGCGGCGUGCUUAACACAUGCAAGUCGAGCGAACAAAGCCUUGUGAAGCCUUCGGGUGAAUCAGGGGUGCGUGAGCGGCGGACGGGUGAGUAACACGUGGGCAACCUGCCCUGUACACUGGGAUAACGCACCGAAAGGUGUGCUAAUACCGGAUGAAGUAGCCAUUUCGCAUGGAGAGGCUAUGAAAGCUGAGGCGGUACAGAUGGGCAUGCGUAUGAUUAGCUAGUUGGGGAGGUAACGGCUCACCAAGGCAACGAUCAUUAGGGGUUCUGAGAGGAAGGUCCCCCACACUGGUACUGAGACACGGACCAGACUCCUACGGGAGGCAGCAGUGAGGAAUAUUGGUCAAUGGGCGAGAGCCUGAACCAGCCAAGUCGCGUGAAGGAAGAAGGUUCUAUGGAUUGUAAACUUCUUUUGUAAGGGAAUAAAAAAGAGUACGUGUACUCUAUUGUAUGUACUUUACGAAUAAGGAUCGGCUAACUCCGUGCCAGCAGCCGCGGUAAUACGGAGGAUCCGAGCGUUAUCCGGAUUUAUUGGGUUUAAAGGGUGCGUAGGCGGACUUAUAAGUCAGCGGUGAAAGUUUGCAGCUUAACUGUAAAAUUGCCGUUGAAACUGUUAGUCUUGAGUGUAAAUGAGGUAGGCGGAAUGUGUUGUGUAGCGGUGAAAUGCUUAGAUAUAACACAGAACACCAAUUGCGAAGGCAGCUUACUGGGAUACAACUGACGCUGAGGCACGAAAGCGUGGGGAGCAAACAGGAUUAGAUACCCUGGUUGUCCACGCUGUAAACGAUGGAUACUAGGUGUGGGGGGUCUGACCCCCUCCGUGCCGCAGUUAACACAAUAAGUAUCCCACCUGGGGAGUACGAUCGCAAGGUUGAAACUCAAGGAAUUGACGGGGGCCCGCACAAGCGGAGGAACAUGUGGUUUAAUUCGAUGAUACGCGAGGAACCUUACCCGGGCUUGAAAUGCAUCUGACCGACUUGGAAACAGGUCUUCUAGCAAUAGCAGAUGUGUAGGUGCUGCAUGGUGUCGUCAGCUCGUGCCGUGAGGUGUCGGCUUAAGUGCCAUAACGAGCGCAACCCCUAUUGAUAGUUACUAACAGGUUACGCUGAGGACUCUAUUGAGACUGCCACCGUAAGGUGUGAGGAAGGUGGGGAUGACGUCAAAUCAGCACGGCCCUUACGUCCGGGGCGACACACGUGUUACAAUGGGGGGUACAGAGGGUUGCUACUUGGUGACAAGAUGCUAAUCUCUUAAAGCCUCUCUCAGUUCGGAUCGGAGUCUGCAACUCGACUCCGUGAAGCUGGAUUCGCUAGUAAUCGCGCAUCAGCCAUGGCGCGGUGAAUACGUUCCCGGGCCUUGUACACACCGCCCGUCAAGCCAUGGAAGCUGGGGGGACCUGAAGUACGUAACCGCAAGGAGCGUCCUAGGGUAAAACUAGUAACUGGGGCUAAGUCGUAACAAGGUAGCCGUACCGGAAGGUGCGGCUGGAUCACCUCC
Molecule: ribosomal RNA, 1529 nt
Filed under: bacterium enrichment culture clone BA212
Lineage: Bacteria
Description: bacterial SSU rRNA
Rfam family: Bacterial small subunit ribosomal RNA
Source: RNAcentral